AUUUAAAAUGUAUUUGUAAAUAUUAAAGUAGUAUUAGUUAUGUUCUUGAAACUUAAAAAAUUUGGCGGUAUUUUAGUCUAUUCAGAGGAACCUGUUCUAUAAUCGAUAAUCCACGAUGGACCUUACUUAAAUUUGUUAAUCAGUUUAUAUACCGUCGUUAUUAGAAUAUUUUAUAAGAAUAAUAAUUUUCAUAAAAUUUUAUUAAAAUAUAUAUCAGAUCAAGGUGUAGCUUAUGUUUAAGUAGAAAUGGGUUACAAUAAAAUUAUUUAUACGAAUAUAAAUAUGAAAAAUUUAUUGAAGGUGGAUUUGAUAGUAAAAUUAUAAAGAUUAAUAAUUUGAUUUUAGCUCUAAAAUAUGU
RNAcentral lists this ribosomal RNA (358 nucleotides) under Antrops sp. JK34. RNAcentral's name for it is "partial 12S ribosomal RNA". The record is from RNAcentral. Lineage: Eukaryota; Metazoa; Arthropoda; Insecta; Diptera; Sphaeroceridae.